UUAAAUUGAAGAGUUUGAUCAUGGCUCAGAUUGAACGCUGGCGGCAGGCCUAACACAUGCAAGUCGAACGGUAACAGGAAGCAGCUUGCUGCUUYGCUGACGAGUGGCGGACGGGUGAGUAAUGUCUGGGAAACUGCCUGAUGGAGGGGGAUAACUACUGGAAACGGUGGCUAAUACCGCAUAACGUCGCAAGACCAAAGAGGGGGACCUUCGGGCCUCU
This 220-nucleotide ribosomal RNA is filed under the name Salmonella enterica subsp. enterica serovar Dublin. Its description in RNAcentral is "partial 16S ribosomal RNA". It matches the Rfam family "Bacterial small subunit ribosomal RNA", at positions 1 to 217 of the family's 1533-position model. Lineage: Bacteria; Pseudomonadati; Pseudomonadota; Gammaproteobacteria; Enterobacterales; Enterobacteriaceae. The record is from RNAcentral.